This 484-nucleotide ribosomal RNA is filed under the name uncultured bacterium. Its description in RNAcentral is "partial 16S ribosomal RNA". It matches the Rfam family "Bacterial small subunit ribosomal RNA", at positions 30 to 507 of the family's 1533-position model. The record is from RNAcentral.
AUUGAACGCUGGCGGCAGGCCUAACACAUGCAAGUCGAGCGGAUGAAGGGAGCUUGCUCCUGGAUUCAGCGGCGGACGGGUGAGUAAUGCCUAGGAAUCUGCCUGGUAGUUGGGGAUAACGUCCGGAAACGGGCGCUAAUACCGCAUACGUCCUGAGGGAGAAAGUGGGGGAUCUUCGGACCUCACGCUAUCAGAUGAGCCUAGGUCGGAUUAGCUAGUUGGUGGGGUAAAGGCCUACCAAGGCGACGAUCCGUAACUGGUCUGAGAGGAUGAUCAGUCACACUGGAACUGAGACACGGUCCAGACUCCUACGGGAGGCAGCAGUGGGGAAUCUUGGGCAAUGGGCGAAAGCCUGAUCCAGCCAUGCCGCGUGAGUGAAGAAGGUCUUCGGAUUGUAAAGCACUUUAAGUUGGGAGGAAGGGCAGUAAGUUAAUACCUUGCUGUUUUGACGUUACCAACAGAAUAAGCACCGGCUAACUUCGUG